This 441-nucleotide ribosomal RNA is filed under the name uncultured bacterium. RNAcentral's name for it is "partial 16S ribosomal RNA". It matches the Rfam family "Bacterial small subunit ribosomal RNA", at positions 338 to 795 of the family's 1533-position model. The record is from RNAcentral.
CCUACGGGUGGCAGCAGUGGGGAAUAUUGCACAAUGGGGGAAACCCUGAUGCAGCGACGCCGCGUGAGUGAAGAAGUAUUUCGGUAUGUAAAGCUCUAUCAGCAGGAACGAGACAAGACGGUACCUGACUAAGAAGCCCCGGCUAACUACGUGCCAGCAGCCGCGGUAAUACGUAGGGGGCAAGCGUUAUCCGGAAUCACUGGGUGUAAGGGGAGCGUAGACGGCUGUGCAAGCCUGAAGUGAAAGGCGGGGGCCCAACCCCUGGACUGCUUUGGGAACUGUACGGCUGGAGUGCAGGAGAGGUAAGUGGAAUUCCUAGUGUAGCGGUGAAAUGCGUAGAUAUUAGGAGGAACACCAGUGGCGAAGGCGGCUUACUGGACUGUAACUGACGUUGAGGCUCGAAAGCGUGGGGAGCAAACAGGAUUAGAUACCCUAGUAGUC